AGAGUUUGAUCCUGGCUCAGAUUGAACGCUGGCGGCAUGCCUUACACAUGCAAGUCGAACGGCAGCACGGGGGCAACCCUGGUGGCGAGUGGCGAACGGGUGAGUAAUACAUCGGAAUGUACCCAGUAGUGGGGGAUAACUAGUCGAAAGAUUAGCUAAUACCGCAUACGCACUAUGGUGGAAAGCGGGGGAUCGCAAGACCUCGCGCUAUUGGAGCAGCCGAUGUCCGAUUAGGUAGUUGGUGGGGUAAAGGCCUACCAAGCCUGCGAUCGGUAACUGGUCUGAGAGGACGACCAGUCACACUGGGACUGAGACACGGCCCAGACUCCUACGGGAGGCAGCAGUGGGGAAUUUUGGACAAUGGGGGAAACCCUGAUCCAGCAAUGCCGCGUGUGUGACGAAGGCCUUCGGGUUGUAAAGCACUUUUGGCGGGAACGAAACGGCGCUUUCUAAUACAGAGCGCUAAUGACGGUACCCGCAGAAUAAGCACCGGCUAACUACGUGCCAGCAGCCGCGGUAAUACGUAGGGUGCAAGCGUUAAUCGGAAUUACUGGGCGUAAAGCGUGCGCAGGCGGUUUCGUAAGACAGAUGUGAAAGCCCCGGGC
This 605-nucleotide ribosomal RNA is filed under the name uncultured bacterium. RNAcentral's name for it is "bacterial SSU rRNA". It matches the Rfam family "Bacterial small subunit ribosomal RNA", at positions 8 to 608 of the family's 1533-position model. The record is from RNAcentral.